RNAcentral lists this long non-coding RNA (1026 nucleotides) under Junco hyemalis (dark-eyed junco). RNAcentral describes it as "lncRNA (ENSJHYG00000010906.1)". The record is from RNAcentral. Lineage: Eukaryota; Metazoa; Chordata; Aves; Passeriformes; Passerellidae.
UUGGGGGUAUUUUGGGGAUGAUUUUAGGGUGGUUUUAGGGUUAUUUUUGGGGUGAUUUCGGGGGUGUUUUUAGGGUGGUUUUGGGGUGUUUUGGGGCUGUUUUCGGGGUGGUUUUUUUUGCUGUUUUCGGGGUAUUUAGGGGAUGGUUUUGGGAUAUUUCUGAGGGUGUUUUAGGGUUAUUUUUGGGGCGAUUUGGGGCCGUUCCGGCGUCCCCACCUGCAGCAUGCGCGCGGCCACGGCCACGAUCUGCGGGAAGGCGACGAUGGAGUCGCGGAACCGCUCCUGGAGAUCGCACAGGAACAGAACCGAGGAGCCCACGCGGGGCCAGCCCAGGCGGGCGGCGGCCAUCGGCACACCUGGGACAGCCAAUCAGCGCCUCCCGCGGGACGCCCCACCGGCCAAUGGGAAGCGGAGGCGCCAGCGGGUCGCGCCCACCUUUCCAACUCCCCCGCUCUCAGCCAAUCCGGAGGCGCUGCUGAGCUCCCGGCCAAUCAGAGGCCGAAGGGGGCGGGGCUUGGCGUGAGGGGCAGCCGGGGCCGACCCCAAAAAACUCCGAAAUUGCCCCAAAAUUGGCCCGAAAUUGCCUCAAAAUCUGCCCCAAACCGGCCCCGAAUUCCCCAGAUAAUCCCGAAAUCCCGCGAAUCCGCCCCAAAUCACCCCAAAUCCGACAUUUCAUGCCAAAAUCUGCGUUACCGAAAGGGCCCGGCCGUUGCCGGUCCCGGAACCCCCAAAAUCUCCGUUAUUUACCUCAAAUAUCUGUUAUUGACUCCUAAAUCUCCGUUAUUCGCCCCAAAUCUCAGUUAUGGACCCCUAAAUCUCAAUUUUUACCCCAAAAUCUGCGUUACCGGAACGGCCCGGCCGUUACCGGACACGGAACCCCGAAAAUCUCCGUUAUUGGCCCCAAAAUCGCCGUUACCGGCGGUUCCUCGACCGUUACCGACCCCUAAACCCCCCAAACCACCCCUAAAACCCCCCGGAACCCAAAUAAUCUCAGAUAUUCGUCUCAAAAUCUCAAUUUUCAACUCU